AACGAACGCUGGCGGCAGGCUUAACACAUGCAAGUCGAACGGGCGUAGCAAUACGUCAGUGGCAGACGGGUGAGUAACACGUGGGAAUAUCCCUUUCAGCUCGGAAUAACUCAGGGAAACUUGAGCUAAUACCGAAUACGUCCUUCGGGAGAAAGAUUUAUCACUGAGUGAUUAGCCCGCGUCUGAUUAGCUAGUUGGUGAGGUAAUGGCUCACCAAGGCGACGAUCAGUAGCUGGUCUGAGAGGAUGAUCAGCCACACUGGGACUGAGACACGGCCCAGACUCCUACGGGAGGCAGCAGUAGGGAAUAUUGGACAAUGGGGGCAACCCUGAUCCAGCCAUGCCGGGUGAGUGAUGAAGGCCUUAGGGUUGUAAAGCGCUUUUGCUAGGGAAGAUAAUGACUGUACCUAGAGAAUAAGCCCCGGCUAACUUCGUGCCAGCAGCCGCCGCAG
This 451-nucleotide ribosomal RNA is filed under the name uncultured bacterium. Its description in RNAcentral is "partial 16S ribosomal RNA". It matches the Rfam family "Bacterial small subunit ribosomal RNA", at positions 29 to 523 of the family's 1533-position model. The record is from RNAcentral.